Molecule: long non-coding RNA, 355 nt
Organism: Salvia miltiorrhiza (redroot sage)
Lineage: Eukaryota; Viridiplantae; Streptophyta; Magnoliopsida; Lamiales; Lamiaceae
Exons: 2
Source: RefSeq, a predicted model, not a curated record
CAGGAAGAAGGCAUCAUUAUCGAACUUCAUGCCCUUUGGGGGGCAACAAAUGGUCUACCAUAGCAAGAUACCUACCUGGACGAACAGACAAUGAGAUAAAGAACUAUCGGAGAACUCAUUUCAAGAUCAGAAGCCCAUCCACUCAUAUCAAGAAGCGCAAAAUUCUCAACCAACAACAAACUCAUGUUGGAUUUGUUGAGUUUGGAUUUAUGUAGUUACUAUGGAGUUAGGAUUUAUGAUACUUGAUAUUUAACUUAAUUUAAAUUUGUAGGUAUAUUGAAUUUGGAUGUUUAUUACAUUAAGUAUGUAUGAAUUUGGAUGUUUAUUAUAAGUAUAUUUGAAUUUGAAUAUUUUA